Molecule: ribosomal RNA, 474 nt
Filed under: uncultured bacterium
Lineage: Bacteria
Description: bacterial SSU rRNA
Rfam family: Bacterial small subunit ribosomal RNA
Source: RNAcentral
ACUCCUACGGGAGGCAGCAGUAGGGGAACCUUCCACAAUGGGCGCAAGCCUGAUGGAGCAACACCGCGUGAGUGAAGAAGGGUUUCGGCUCGUAAAGCUCUGUUGUUAAAGAAGAACACGUAUGAGAGUAACUGUUCAUACGUUGACGGUAUUUAACCAGAAAGUCACGGCUAACUACGUGCCAGCAGCCGCGGUAAUACGUAGGUGGCAAGCGUUAUCCGGAUUUAUUGGGGCGUAAAGAGAGUGCAGGCGGUUUUCUAAGUCUGAUGUGAAAGCCUUCGGCUUAACCGGAGAAGUGCAUCGGAAACUGGAUAACUUGAGUGCAGAAGAGGGUAGUGGAACUCCAUGUGUAGCGGUGGAAUGCGUAGAUAUAUGGAAGAACACCAGUGGCGAAGGCGGCUACUGGUCUGCAACUGACGCUGAGACUCGAAAGCAUGGGUAGCGAACAGGAUUAGAUACCCUGGUAGGAUAGCG